Molecule: long non-coding RNA, 854 nt
Filed under: Homo sapiens (human)
Lineage: Eukaryota; Metazoa; Chordata; Mammalia; Primates; Hominidae
Description: HSALNT0371895
Source: RNAcentral
UAUGACUGCAGGUUGGGCUGUCCCUUGGGAUUCAGGGCCUCAAAUGUACCUGCUGACCAGUUGAAGAGUGCUGACCAGCUGUCCUGCUGAACACCUCUCAAUCUGGAUUUUUGACAUUUCCCUGUGAUUAAAUUCAGGGAAUCCAGCUUUGGUGACAGAGCCACUGAAGCAAGGCUGUUCCCUGCUUGGAGACGCACCCACUUUACACGUGUAGGGUGGCGAGUCUGACAAACGCAGCCACAGGCAGCCCCCACCGGGGGAGCCGGACGUUUCCAUCCACCCAGACAGCAGCGUUCACGCCCAGGACCAUGUGGGCCUGCGCCCCGGGCCGCACCUGCCUCUCCUGCAUUCCGUGUCUGGCAUCUUGUGUCGUUGCCACCCUGCGUGCCAUGUCUGGCUUCUCUCUCUCAGCGAGUGUCCUCCGUGUCUCCGAGUCGCGCCCGUUCUGUUGUGCGUAAAUGCCGUUCUCAGAGCUGUUGUUUGUUUAGGGAUGUAUCAUGUUUUCAGCUUAACAUUUGUGCCAUUCGUGUGCCCUGGCGAGCCCCGCCCCCUCCAAGUUACUGGCGUGCUGUGGGCGUUCUCGGGUUUCUACUCUUCCUGCUGUCGCCAGCGCAGCCGAAGCACCAAGCAGGAAGCUCUGCCGAGUUCUUGGCUUCAGCCCCCAAAGCCAGACAGAGAGAAGCGUGAGCACUGCCCAGGAGGCCGCUUUCAUUUCUGUGGGGACAUCGGGACCACCCACCGGACACCCCCAGGAAGGCCACGUUCUGAGGCACUGCACGUUGCAAGAUAAGGGACGUUGCACAUCCUUCACCUGGGAAACUUCUGGACUCCUAACUUCACCUGGGAAACUUCUG